UUUAAAAAAUACGAAAUGUUGAUGCACCC
RNAcentral lists this small RNA (29 nucleotides) under Bombyx mori (domestic silkworm). RNAcentral's name for it is "ovarian small RNA-38207". The record is from RNAcentral. Lineage: Eukaryota; Metazoa; Arthropoda; Insecta; Lepidoptera; Bombycidae.